This 1158-nucleotide long non-coding RNA is filed under the name Homo sapiens (human). RNAcentral describes it as "HSALNT0215896". The record is from RNAcentral. Lineage: Eukaryota; Metazoa; Chordata; Mammalia; Primates; Hominidae.
GGGAUUACAGGCAUGAGCCACUGUGCCCAGCCAGGUUAACUUUUACGAAAUUACAAAAUAAAAUUUUUCUUCUUACAAAAUAAAUGCAAACUACAUGGAAGACAAGAAGGUCUCUUCAUCCUCACUCCAUGUCAUAUGGCUAGGGCCUGCCAUAAGUACAGCACACAUUUUUCCCCAAUUUAAUCUUCUCAACUGAAGAAGGUAUUUUGUCCCCAUUGUACAGAUCAUGACAAUGAGGUUCAGAGAGGUUAAGCAACCAACCCAAGACCACACAGGUAGCAAGUGGACUAGCACCUGCAGUCUGAUGUUGGGGCCCAAACCUUCAAUCACCAGGCAAGACUGCCGGUCACCCUGCAAGCUGCACUCAAUGGUUUGAAAGAAAGGCUGCAAUCAGCAUUUGUGACAUUGUGUUUAUGGGGUGGUCAGCCAUCCCGCCAGGUGCACAACGUGUGGCUCGGUAGACUCUGGGCAGCACAGGCCACUGCAUGGAGUGGCACUCACCCUGCACUGCCAUGUGCUGCCCUCUGUUUGAUUCUCAUCUCCUUUCAGCGUCAGACAGCGGUGGCAGGCAGCGGUGGCAGGCAGCGGUGGCAGGCAGCGGUGGCAGUGGUGGUAGACUGCCGUGGUAGGUGGAACUCAUCAUCCUAUCUCCCAGGGAUUGUCACUUUCCCCCGAGCCCUCAUGAGCUUCUGAGCAGCUCUACGAAGCAAGAGUCACAUGGAUUUGGGCUUUUUGAAGAAAGUUCAAGGAGAUUCCUACCUUUGCUGGUACCCUCCUCUGGGCGUGGGCUGCGACAUGGACAUCAGCAAACUUAAGCUCAACGAGGGAAGAUUGUGUGCCCUCUGGAACCUCUGACCGCUGCCUCUAUGUGCACGGGCCCCUAAUCACAGUGCGUCUCCUACGCACCCUUGGCUCCCCCAGGAGCUGGUGGCUUCUGGGUUAGCUCUGAGACAGAGGUAUCACCAGGCUUGGCUCAGGGAGGCCAACUGUGUGCUCUGGAACCAUCCAGACCCUCAAUGUUUAAAUUGAAAGUGUGCCCAGCCUCGGCCCCCUUCCCUUUGACAUUAAGACUUAAGAAGUUUCUAGUCCUUGUUGAAACCUAGUACAAAUGCCUCCUCUAGGAGCCUCUUGGGUGGGGUGGGAGUUUUUCAACUGUCA